AUGAAAGCGAAUAAGGGCGUAUGGCGGAUGCCUUGGCUCUCAGAGGCGAUGAAGGACGUGAUAAGCUGCGAUAAGCUACGGGUAAGUGCAAACAACUUUUAAUCCGUAGAUUUCCGAAUGGGGAAACCCAUCAUGCUGAAGGCAUGAUAUCCUGAAAAGGAAGCGAACCCAGGGAACUGAAACAUCUAAGUACCUGGAGGAACAGAAAACAAAUAGUGAUUCCCUAAGUAGUGGCGAGCGAAAGGGGAAUAGCCCAAAUCUCAAUAACUUAGUUUUUGAGAGGUUGUAGGACUGCAAUAUGCAAUAACAUUUUAAACUGAAUCUUCUGGAAAGUAGAACUAUAAAAGGUGAUAGUCCUGUAAGUGUAAGAAUAUUAAAGUUAGCAGUAUCCUGAGUACCACGGGACCGGAGAAAUCCUGUGGGAAUCGACCAGCACCAUCUGGUAAGGCUAAAUACUACUGAGAGACCGAUAGUGAACAAGUACCGUGAGGGAAAGGUGAAAAGAACCGCGAACAGCGGAGUGAAAUAGUACCUGAAACCAUACGCUUACAAGCGGUAGGAGCCCUUAGGGGUGACUACGUGCCUUUUGCAUAAUGAGCCUACGAGUUAUACUUCACCGGCAAGGUUAAUCUUGAAAACAAGAAAAGCCGUAGCGAAAGCGAGUCUGAAUAGGGCAUUAGUCGGUGGGGAUAGACGCGAAACCUAGUGAUCUACCUAUGGCCAGGUUGAAGUUCCGGUAACACGGGAUGGAGGACCGAACUGUUUAGCGUUGAAAAGCUAUCGGAUGAGCUGUGGGUAGGGGUGAAAGGCUAAUCAAACUAGGAGAUAGCUCGUACUCCCCGAAAUGUUUUUAGGAACAGCCUCGGACCAAUAGUCAUAGAGGUAGAGCUACCGAUUGGACUAGGGGGCUUCAUCGCCUACCAAAUCCUGACGAACUCCGAAUGCUAUGACUUAUAUCCGGGAGUGAGGCCCAGGGUGCUAAGGUCAUGGGCCGAGAGGGAAAUAACCCAGACCAUCAGCUAAGGUCCCUAAAUUCAUGCUAAGUUGAUCAAACGUUGUCUGAUUGCUAUAACAGCUAGGAUGUUUGCUUGGAAGCAGCAAUUCAUUUAAAGAGUGCGUAACAGCUCACUAGUCGAGUGAUCGGGCGCGGAAAAUAAUCGGGCAUAAAGCAUGAUACCGAAGCUAUGGAUUCAAUUGUUUGACAAUUGAGUGGUAGGGGAGCAUUCCAGUUGCAUUGAAGGUGUAGCGUGAGCUAUGUUGGAGCGGCUGGAAAAGCAAAUGUAGGCAUAAGUAACGAUAAACCGGGUGAAAAACCCGGUCGCCGAUAGACUAAGGUUUCCUGAUCAAUGCUAAUCAGAUCAGGGUUAGUCGGGUCCUAAGGCUAAGCCGAAAGGUGACGUCGAUGGACAUACAGUUAAUAUUCUGUAACCAGCAUUUAUUGUGAUGGGGUGACGGAGAAGCGUAAGGUCUGCGCACGGACGGAAGUGUGCGUUAAAGGGUGUAGGUAUAUCUGCUGUUGGCAAAUCCGCAGCGGGUGCUGAAACCCGACAGUACCACAAACCUUCGGGGGAGUGGAUAAUGACCCUAAGCCGGCUUCCAAGAAAAACCCCUAAACUUCAGAUAGAUGCUGCCCGUACCGCAAACCGACACAGGUAGUCAAGAAGAAUAUUCUAAGGCGCUCGAGUGAACCGUGGCUAAGGAACUCGGCAAAUUAACCCUGUAACUUCGGGAUAAAGGGUCCCCGCAGCAAUGCGGGGCGCAGUGAAAUGGCUCAGGCGACUGUUUAGCAAAAACACAGGACUCUGCUAAAUCGAAAGAUGAUGUAUAGGGUCUGACACCUGCCCGGUGCUGGAAGGUUAAGGAAGGGGGUCAGCCGCAAGGCGAAGCUCUCAACUGAAGCCCCAGUAAACGGCGGCCGUAACUAUAACGGUCCUAAGGUAGCGAAAUUCCUUGUCGGGUAAGUUCCGACCUGCACGAAUGGUGUAACGAUCUGAGCACUGUCUCGGCCACGAGCUCGGUGAAAUUG
Molecule: ribosomal RNA, 2026 nt
Filed under: Bacteroidia bacterium
Lineage: Bacteria; Pseudomonadati; Bacteroidota; Bacteroidia
Description: partial 23S ribosomal RNA
Rfam family: Bacterial large subunit ribosomal RNA
Source: RNAcentral